This 1428-nucleotide long non-coding RNA is filed under the name Homo sapiens (human). RNAcentral's name for it is "PREDICTED lncRNA (TCONS_00099898)". The record is from RNAcentral. Lineage: Eukaryota; Metazoa; Chordata; Mammalia; Primates; Hominidae.
CAGGGAGCUGGGGCAGCCUGCUGUGCGGAGCUGGGGGAGGAGGAGGGAGCCCUGGGGGACAGACAGAAGGACCAUCGAAGGAGAAACCCUGCUGGCCUCGGGACCUGGAGGAAAGAACCAGGGCCCGUGCUCCUUGGGCCAGGAUCCGGCGAUUGGACGGAACCUCUCGGAUUCCCCAGUGCUGUGAAAUCCACUUGGGGCCAUCACACCCUUCAUUGCUGUGCUCCCUGGCAGAACUCGAAUGCAGCGUGAGCUGGGCACUUUUCCCAGGGUUUGCUCUAGGUCUGGGUCUCCCAUCAGCUCCCCCGGAGCAGAGCCUGAGGCAAGGAUUCUUGUUCGGGGGCAUCUUCCUCUCAGCACCGUGCUUUGGGAAUCGAGUGAUGGUGCUGAGUGAACCCCUGAGUGAACAUCUGUGGCUUCCUCCCACCUCGUCUCUGGAUGCACUCCUGUUCGAAUGGGUGUCUGUACAUGCUUGUCCCCUCCCCACGGUGGCGUGCUCAAUGGUGGCUCCCCACAGAUAUGUCCGUGUCCUAAUUCCCGGAGCCUUUGGGUCUCAUGUAGCCAAUGAUGUGAAAAAGUGAAGGAUGCUGAGAGGAGAUCAUCCAGGUGGGCUCUGAACAGUAUCCUGUGCAUCUUUCUAAUAAGAGGGGUUCACCGGGAUCCUGUGCAUCUUUCUAAUAAGAGGGGCUCACCGGGUGCGGGGGCUCACGCCUAUCAUCCCAGCACUUUGGGAGGCCAAGACGGGCAAAUCACGUGAGGUCUGGAGUUUGGAACUAGCCUGGGCAUCAUGGUGAAACUCCGUCUCUACUAAAACUACAAAAAUCAGCCAGGCGUGGUGGCCUGUAAUCCCAGCUACUCCGGAGGCUGAGGCCUGAGAAUCGCUUGAACCCGGGAGGUGGAGAUCACGCCAUUGCACUCCAGCCUGGGUGACAGAGUGAAACUUCACCUGAAAAAAAAAAAGAGGGUUCCACAGAGGGGACGCAAACAGGAGGGGACAGCGUGGCCAUGGAGGCAGCAGGGAGUGGCACAGCCAUCAUGACAAUAAGAAAAGACAGGACUUAAACACAUAAAUAAUUUCCACUGUUUUAAACUACCAUGUUUGUGGUAAUUUGUUACAGCAGUGGCAGGAAAUUAAUACACCCAUCUUUAGGACACAAGCGUUCCCCUUUCUCAGGCUAGACACGGUGGCUCACACCUAUAAUUCCAGCACUUUGGGAGGCCCAGGUGGGAGGAUCAUUUGUGCCCAGGAGUUUGAGACCAGCCUGGGAAACACAGUGAGAUCCCAUCUCUACAAAAAACUAAAAAGACACAGACAUGAGCCACUGUGCCUGGCCUCCGAAUUAUGUUUCUUUGCUAUAUUUUGAAAUGGCCCUGCAAAGCCAUCUUUUGUGGGGGGAGAUAUGCGUCUAUAAGGAAUUUCAGGCCGGG